CGCACGAGCGCACCCUUGCCCUAUGUUGCCAGCGGGUUAUGCCGGGGACUCAUGGGGAACUGCCGGUGAUAAACCGGAGGAAGGUGGGGACGACGUCAAGUCAUCAUGGCCCUUACGCCCAGGGCUACACACGUGCUACAAUGGCCGGUACAAAGGGCUGCAAUCCCGCGAGGGGGAGCGAAUCCCAAAAAGCCGGUCUAAGUUCGGAUUGUAGUCCGCAACUCGACUGCAUGAAGUCGGAAUCGCUAGUAAUCGUGUAUCAGCAACGACACGGUGAAUACGUUCCCGGGCCUUGUACACACCGCCCGUCAAGCCAUGGAAGCCGGGAGUGCCCGAAGUCCGUGAUCCAACUUCGUGAGGAAGCGGCCGAAGGUAAGUUCGGUGACUGGGGCUAAAUCGUAACAAGGUAGCCGUAGGGGAACCUGCGGCUGGAUCA
Molecule: ribosomal RNA, 436 nt
Filed under: uncultured Gammaproteobacteria bacterium
Lineage: Bacteria; Pseudomonadati; Pseudomonadota; Gammaproteobacteria
Description: bacterial SSU rRNA
Rfam family: Bacterial small subunit ribosomal RNA
Source: RNAcentral